Molecule: ribosomal RNA, 305 nt
Filed under: uncultured bacterium
Lineage: Bacteria
Description: bacterial SSU rRNA
Rfam family: Bacterial small subunit ribosomal RNA
Source: RNAcentral
UGAGACCUACGGGAGGCAGCAGUGAGGAAUAUUGGUCAAUGGGCGAGAGCCUGAACCAGCCAAGUCGCGUGAAGGAUGACGGCCCUACGGGUUGUAAACUUCUUUUGUCAGGGAGCAAUUGGGUCCACGCGUGGGCUUAGCGAGAGUACCUGAAGAAAAAGCAUCGGCUAACUCCGUGCCAGCAGCCGCGGUAAUACGGAGGAUGCGAGCGUUAUCCGGAUUUAUUGGGUUUAAAGGGUGCGCAGGCGGAAGAUCAAGUCAGCGGUAAAAUUGAGAGGCUCAACCUCUUCGAGCCGUUGAAACUG